This 330-nucleotide long non-coding RNA is filed under the name Trifolium pratense (red clover). RNAcentral's name for it is "long non-coding RNA (TPRA_LNC006500)". The record is from RNAcentral. Lineage: Eukaryota; Viridiplantae; Streptophyta; Magnoliopsida; Fabales; Fabaceae.
AUCUAAGCUUUGCUCUUUUUGACAAUAAAUGAAGACAGUAGCUAUAUAGACUGUACUCCAUAAGACCAGAUUGACUACAACUAAGAUGGGUGGUGACAUUGAAAUGAAGAUUACUGCUCCGGACGACACAGCACAUGCGGUUCCGUAUAUGACUGUGAUAGGAAUUAAGGUUGCAAUAGUCCUCUCACUCUCAUCUGAUACCAUGGCGUAGAACAUCAAAACUACGAAGAAUACCAUAAUUGCCAAGACAAAAAUAAGAGCAUAGUAAUUUUCAAAGAAAUCCUUCUCUAUGAACUUCAUUGCUAUCAAACCAAUCGAAGUGACCUUCAC